RNAcentral lists this ribosomal RNA (1475 nucleotides) under uncultured organism. RNAcentral describes it as "bacterial SSU rRNA". It matches the Rfam family "Bacterial small subunit ribosomal RNA". The record is from RNAcentral.
GAAUGAACGCUGGCGGCGUGCUUAACACAUGCAAGUCGCACGAGAACACCUCAGCUUGCUGGGGUAAGUAAAGUGGCGCACGGGUGAGUAACGCGUGGGUAAUCUGCCCUCGAAUCUGGGAUAACCCCGCGAAAGCGGGGCUAAUACCGGAUGAAAUCCAGUUAGCUUUGGCUAUAUGGAUCAAAGGUGGCCUCUGCAUGCAAGCUACUGUUUGGGGAUGAGCCCGCGUACCAUUAGCUUGUUGGUGGGGUAAAGGCCCACCAAGGCGACGAUGGUUAGCUGGUCUGAGAGGAUGAUCAGCCACACUGGAACUGGAACACGGUCCGGACUCCUACGGGAGGCAGCAGUGAGGAAUUUUGCGCAAUGGGGGUAACCCUGACGCAGCAACGCCGCGUGAGUGAUGAAGGCCUUCGGGUCGUAAAGCUCUGUCAAGUGGGAAGAACCCAUUCCGGCACAACAAGCCGGGGUGCUGACGGUACCACUGAAGGAAGCACCGGCUAACUCCGUGCCAGCAGCCGCGGUAAUACGGAGGGUGCGAGCGUUAUUCGGAAUUACUGGGCGUAAAGGGCGCGUAGGCGGCCGAUUAAGUCAGAUGUGAAAUCCCGGGGCUUACCCCCGGAAGUGCAUUUGAUACUGAACGGCUUGAGUAUGGGAGAGGGAAGUGGAAUUCCUGGUGUAGCGGUGAAAUGCGUAGAUAUCAGGAGGAACACCGGUGGCGAAGGCGACUUCCUGGACCAAUACUGACGCUGAGGCGCGAAGGCGUGGGGAGCAAACACGAUUAGAUACCCUGGUAGUCCACGCAAGUAAACGGUGAUCACUACGUGUAGCGGGUAUUGACCCCUGCUGUGCCGGAGUUAACGCAUUACGUGAUCCGCCUGGGGAGUACGGCCGCCAGGUUAAAACUCCAAGGAAUUGACGGGGGCCCGCACAAAGCGGUGGAGCAUGUGGUUUAAUCCGACGCAACGCGAAGAACCUUACCUGGAUUUGACAUCUCGGGAAUCCCGCGGAAACGCGGGAGUGCCCUUCGGGGAGCCCGAAGACAGGUGCUGCAUGGCUGUCGUCAGCUCGUGUCGUGAGAUGUUGGGUUAAGUCCCGCAACGAGCGCAACCCCUAUCUUCAGUUACCAGCGAGUAAAGUCGGGGACUCUGGAGAUACUGCCCCGGUCAACGGGGAGGAAGGUGGGGAUGACGUCAAGUCCUCAUGGCCUUUAUGUCCAGGGCUACACACGUGCUACAAUGGGCUGUACAGAGGGAAGCGAUCUCGCGAGGGUGAGCCAAUCCCAAAAAGCAGUCCUCAGUUCGGAUUGGAGUCUGCAACUCGACUCCAUGAAGCUGGAAUCGCUAGUAAUCGCGGAUCAGCAUGCCGCGGUGAUACGCUCCCGGGCCUUGUACACACCGCCCGUCACACCAUGAGAGUUGGCUGUACCAGAAGUCGUCGGGCCAACCACGCCUUUGGCGUGGGGGCAGGCGCCUAAG